Molecule: ribosomal RNA, 391 nt
Filed under: Salmonella enterica
Lineage: Bacteria; Pseudomonadati; Pseudomonadota; Gammaproteobacteria; Enterobacterales; Enterobacteriaceae
Also listed under: 1 other name
Description: bacterial SSU rRNA
Rfam family: Bacterial small subunit ribosomal RNA
Source: RNAcentral
GUGGCGAAGGCGGCCCCCUGGACAAAGACUGACGCUCAGGUGCGAAAGCGUGGGGAGCAAACAGGAUUAGAUACCCUGGUAGUCCACGCCGUAAACGAUGUCUACUUGGAGGUUGUGCCCUUGAGGCGUGGCUUCCGGAGCUAACGCGUUAAGUAGACCGCCUGGGGAGUACGGCCGCAAGGUUAAAACUCAAAUGAAUUGACGGGGGCCCGCACAAGCGGUGGAGCAUGUGGUUUAAUUCGAUGCAACGCGAAGAACCUUACCUGGUCUUGACAUCCACAGAACUUUCCAGAGAUGGAUUGGUGCCUUCGGGAACUGUGAGACAGGUGCUGCAUGGCUGUCGUCAGCUCGUGUUGUGAAAUGUUGGGUUAAGUCCCGCAACGAGCGCAAC